RNAcentral lists this ribosomal RNA (600 nucleotides) under uncultured bacterium. RNAcentral describes it as "bacterial SSU rRNA". It matches the Rfam family "Bacterial small subunit ribosomal RNA", at positions 8 to 622 of the family's 1533-position model. The record is from RNAcentral.
AGAGUUUGAUCCUGGCUCAGGAUGAACGCUGACAGAAUGCUUAACACAUGCAAGUCGACUGGAAUUCUUCUUCGGAAGAUAGUACGGUGGCGGACGGGUGAGUAACGCGUAAAGAAUUUGCCCUUCAGACUGGGACAACUAACCGAAAGGUUAGCUAAUACCGGAUAUUAUGAGACCUUGGCAUCGAGGACUUAUGAAAGCUAUAUGCGCUGGAGGAGAACUUUGCGUCCCAUUAGGUAGUUGGUAGGGUAAUGGCCUACCAAGCCGACGAUGGGUAGCCGGCCUGAGAGGGUGAACGGCCACAAGGGGACUGAGACACGGCCCUUACUCCUACGGGAGGCAGCAGUGGGGAAUAUUGGACAAUGGACCAAAAGUCUGAUCCAGCAAUUCUGUGUGCACGAUGAAGGUCUUCGGAUUGUAAAGUGCUUUCAGGUGGGAAGAAGAAAGUGACGGUACCACCAGAAGAAGCGACGGCUAAAUACGUGCCAGCAGCCGCGGUAAUACGUAUGUCGCAAGCGUUAUCCGGAAUUAUUGGGCGUAAAGCGAGUCUAGGCGGCUUGUUAAGUCAGAUGUGAAAAUGCGGGGCUCAACUCCGUAUUG